UUACAGGGCGAUUAGAUACGAAGAAAUGCUGGCCUGGCUGGAACACGAUCAAAUAGUUGGCCUGACGUGUGUUUUCAUUUUUUUCUCUACAGAAAACGACGAGAGCGGUCGUGGUAUGCUGGCUGAGGAGCCAUGGCUGCUUCUCUGGCCAUCGCAUAUCAACAGGUGACUCGAUCAACUCUAGGCAGUCUUCAUCGUACAGGCAAUGGAGCACUUGAAUGAGAGCCGAUGCGCUGGCGGUCUGUCAUCCGAGGGAGCUUCCAGGAAUUAUGCCCGGCAGCAGCUGAUCGCUCCGUCACGAGCCUCUCUCUCGGUGGAUAGACGCUUCAUAAUUGAGCUCCUCUCUUUCUCUACACCCAUUCAAUGAUUCAGAAGCCUCUCACUCAAUCUUCGUUUA
Molecule: long non-coding RNA, 397 nt
Organism: Selaginella moellendorffii
Lineage: Eukaryota; Viridiplantae; Streptophyta; Lycopodiopsida; Selaginellales; Selaginellaceae
Exons: 2
Source: RefSeq, a predicted model, not a curated record